Molecule: long non-coding RNA, 992 nt
Organism: Rosa chinensis
Lineage: Eukaryota; Viridiplantae; Streptophyta; Magnoliopsida; Rosales; Rosaceae
Exons: 4
Source: RefSeq, a predicted model, not a curated record
CUCUGUCUCUCUUUCUCUGUCUCUCUCUCUCUCUGUCUCUUUCUCUUCUUCGUUGAAUUCAGUCACCACGGAUGGGUAUUCUCUCUCCUUCUCGAUCUGUCUCGAGCUUUCUCCGUUGUCUCUAACGAGGAUCCGAUCUAAAAGAUGCCAGGCCUAAACCCUCUCAUCUGCUUCGCAAUGUUGUCAUCAUCGUCUUUCCCCAAACCUCCGACCUCGCCGCCUACCUUCGACGCCCCCGUAAUGCCAUUGAAGAGCUCCAGAGCAGCCAGUGCUCCACCGGUCCAAAAGGGUUUUUCUGCAGUGACUGGAGUAGUUAAGUCAGGCUUUAAUACUUCGUGAAUUGAACGGGUGAUAAAGAUCCUAACAAGAGGAACAAACUAGUUCAAGACUUGAAUGAUUUAACUGUGGUGUACUUCAAUCAGCCAUUGAAGCCAAAGAAGAUGAAUCACAGAGAGUUACGUGAUUUGAAGGAAGUGAAUGAAGAGGUUGCCAUGUACAAGGUCAGGUUACUCGAUCUCCCCCCCCCCCCCCCAAUGUUUUUUUUUUAUAUAUAAUUUGUUUGAUAUGUUCAGUGUGUAUUGAUCUUGGAUUAUAAUCAUUUUCCUUCCAUCAGUUUAAGGAUUAUGAUACCAAGAACUCUGGUAUUUUGAAAGAAAUCUGCAGAAACUGUCCUGCAGUACAGCCUUCUUUGGUACUUCUUUUUCCUGACUUACUGACCUCCAAAUGACCUGAAUUUUUGAUAUGUUUCACUUCUGUUAGUUAACAAAGGAUCUGGAAAGUUUCAUCGCAUUUCGACGUAAAGUGAAUGUUCUGUGAAUUUUCCAAGUUUGGUCUGUAAUUGAGAAAGUUCCAGAAUUUUAAAUGUUCCUCUGAUUUUCUGUUGAGAUUUGAACUUCUACUUGAAUCAUUUAAGUUCUGGUUUUUCUGUAUAUUGAACUAGACAUCCCAAUGCUUGUUUGAAAACUAAUUCCUUGUCAUUUGGAUUUGCAAUG